GACGAACGCUGGCGGCGCGCCUAACACAUGCAAGUCGAACGAGCGAGAGAGAGAUUGCUUUCUCGUGCGAGUGGCGCACGGGUGAGUAACGCGUGAGGAACCUGCCUCAUAGAGGGGGACAACAGUUGGAAACGACAGCUCAAACCGCAUAUGAACACGGCUCGGCAUCGAGCAGGGGUAAAAGGAGCCAAUCGCUUUGAGAUGGCCUCACGUCCGAUUAUAUAAUUGGUUGGGUAACGGCCCAGCUAGGCGACGCUCGGUAGCCGGACCGAGAGGUUGAACGGCCACAUUGGGACUGAGACACGUCCCGGACUCCCACGGAAGGCAGCAGGUGGGAAUGAUGCACAAUGGGUGAGAGCCGGAUGCUGCGAGGCCGCGUGGAGGAGUAGGGUCAGCGGAUUGUAAGCGCCUGUUGAUGGGGAAGAUAAUGACGGUACCCAACAAGAAAGUGACGGCUAACUACGUG
Molecule: ribosomal RNA, 466 nt
Filed under: uncultured bacterium
Lineage: Bacteria
Description: partial 16S ribosomal RNA
Rfam family: Bacterial small subunit ribosomal RNA
Source: RNAcentral